AACGAACGCUGGCGGCACGCCUAACACAUGCAAGUCGAGCGCACCUUCGGGUGAGCGGCGGACGGGUUAGUAACGCGUGGGAACAUACCCUUCUCUAAGGAAUAGCCACUGGAAACGGUGAGUAAUACCUUAUACGCCCUUCGGGGGAAAGAUUUAUCGGAGAUGGAUUGGCCCGCGUUAGAUUAGAUAGUUGGUGGGUAACGGCCUACCAAGUCUACGAUCUAUAGCUGGUUUAGAGGAUGAUCAGCAACACUGGACUGAGACACGGCCCAGACUCCUACGGGAGGCAGCAGUGGGGAAUCUAGACAAUGGGGCAAAGCCUGAUCUAGCGAUGCCGCGUGAGUGAUGAAGGCCUUAGGGUCGUAAAGCUCUUUCGCCAGGGAUGAUAAUGACAGUACCUGGUAAAG
RNAcentral lists this ribosomal RNA (407 nucleotides) under uncultured bacterium. RNAcentral describes it as "bacterial SSU rRNA". It matches the Rfam family "Bacterial small subunit ribosomal RNA", at positions 29 to 487 of the family's 1533-position model. The record is from RNAcentral.